CCUACGUGCGGCAGCAGUGGGGAAUAUUGGACAAUGGGCGAAAGCCUGAUCCAGCCAUGCCGCGUGUGUGAAGAAGGCCUUCGGGUUGUAAAGCACUUUCAGUGGGGAAGAAAGCCUUGGGGCUAAUACCCUCGAGGAAGGACAUCACCCACAGAAGAAGCACCGGCUAACUCCGUGCCAGCAGCCGCGGUAAUACGGAGGGUGCGAGCGUUAAUCGGAAUUACUGGGCGUAAAGCGCGCGUAGGCGGUCUGAUAAGCCGGUUGUGAAAGCCCCGGGCUCAACCUGGGAACGGCAUCCGGAACUGUCAGGCUAGAGUGCAGGAGAGGAAGGUAGAAUUCCCGGUGUAGCGGUGAAAUGCGUAGAGAUCGGGAGGAAUACCAGUGGCGAAGGCGGCCUUCUGGACUGACACUGACGCUGAGGUGCGAAAGCGUGGGUAGCAAACAGGAUUAGAUACCCCAGUAGU
RNAcentral lists this ribosomal RNA (464 nucleotides) under Vreelandella stevensii. RNAcentral's name for it is "partial 16S ribosomal RNA". It matches the Rfam family "Bacterial small subunit ribosomal RNA", at positions 338 to 794 of the family's 1533-position model. The record is from RNAcentral. Lineage: Bacteria; Pseudomonadati; Pseudomonadota; Gammaproteobacteria; Oceanospirillales; Halomonadaceae.